Alligator mississippiensis (American alligator) is the source of this 887-nucleotide long non-coding RNA. RefSeq lists it as uncharacterized. The record is from RefSeq and is a predicted model, not a curated record. NCBI's taxonomy places the organism in Eukaryota, Metazoa, Chordata, Crocodylia, Alligatoridae. The transcript has 2 exons.
CUUCCGCUUCCGCUUCCUCCUCCUCCUCCUCCUCCUCCGCCUGCUGCUGCCGAGCGCGCGUGCCCACGACACCCCCUUCCCCCUCCCCCUCCCCCCCGCCGCUCCUGCCGCGUUUCCCGGCUCUGGCCCGCGGGGGCGACGGACGCAGUCCCGGCCCCAGCGCCAGCGGGGCGUGGGCGUGGGCGCGGGCACGUGACUCCCGCCUCCGCUCCGCUCCGCUCCUGCCGCCCAGCCUGCGCUGCGCUGCGCACGCGCCAACCCCUUGCUCCUCCCCCGCCGUUGUGACGCGCGAGCUCCCCAUUGGCCGCGGCGGCUCGGACCGCUGCGUGCAACCGCGACGGCGCCCUUGCGUGGCGGGAGCGGCGGUGCGGGACGCUGCCCGGCUCCGUGUCGCUGCGGGCUGUGCUGGGCGCUGCCCCCCCCCCGGGCAGUGCGGGCGAGCGGCGGCCGGCAGGGGUUGUGCGGCGUGUUUGAGCCGUGCCGUGCGGGGCGCGCAGAGACGGGCUCCUCACUCGCGCGUGCCUUGCCUCAUAGACUGCGGGAUGAGAGAGAUCCUGUGUGUCAGACUACAGCAGGGCUUCAGUAGUCUUCCCCCGUGGCUACUGCGGAGUACAAAGCUGUUACAGCACAAUGGCACCGAGAAACGGGCAAUAAGUCACAAAGAGACCUCUCUGACGUUGCAAAGACGUGCAUGCCCGAACAGUUCAGCGGGGGCCACUAUCCCUCGUUUCGUUUUCACCACUGCGAGGAGCAAAAGCACUGCUGUCUCUGGGAUCCCGCUUGGUGGUUUAUUCUGUCUAUUCUGCAUGAAAGGAGCCGUCACUGAAUGUUUUCAGCUAAAAUCUCUUGUACUCUUACAAGUGUAAUAAAAUAUGGACAUACCUGGC